UCCUUCUUAGCUCAGUUGGUAGAGCGCGUCACUAGUACCGGCCCGGGAUCACGUGAUUUCCCACGGUUGUCGUAACAAUGACGAGGUCAGUCGUUCAAAUCGGCUAGCAGGAA
RNAcentral lists this transfer RNA (113 nucleotides) under Galerina marginata CBS 339.88. RNAcentral's name for it is "tRNA-Thr". It matches the Rfam family "tRNA". From Rfam's summary of the family: Transfer RNA (tRNA) molecules are approximately 80 nucleotides in length. Their secondary structure includes four short double-helical elements and three loops (D, anti-codon, and T loops). Further hydrogen bonds mediate the characteristic L-shaped molecular structure. tRNAs have two regions of fundamental functional importance: the anti-codon, which is responsible for specific mRNA codon recognition, and the 3' end, to which the tRNAs corresponding amino acid is attached (by aminoacyl-tRNA synthetases). tRNAs cope with the degeneracy of the genetic code in two manners: having more than one tRNA (with a specific anti-codon) for a particular amino acid; and 'wobble' base-pairing, i.e. permitting non-standard base-pairing at the 3rd anti-codon position. The record is from RNAcentral. Lineage: Eukaryota; Fungi; Basidiomycota; Agaricomycetes; Agaricales; Galerinaceae.